GUGGGUAUAGCUCAGUGGUAGGGCGCAUGCUUAGGAUGCAUGAGAUCCUGGGUUCAAUCUCCAGCAUCUUCA
Vicugna pacos (alpaca) is the source of this 72-nucleotide non-coding RNA. NCBI's taxonomy places the organism in Eukaryota, Metazoa, Chordata, Mammalia, Artiodactyla, Camelidae. The record is from the annotation of a RefSeq genome assembly.